AUUUCUUGUUUUGUUUGUUUGUUGGUUGGUUGGUUGUUUGUUUCUCUGCAUGACAGACAAACAAGCAAGCAAGCAAGUGUUGUUGUUGUUGUUUGUGGACGUGAGACAGGCAGGCAGGCAGACAAGAGAUGAUAGAUGACGACGAUGGAAAUGGUCCAUCCUCCUCCUCCUCCUCCUCCCUCGCCCACGCUCGCCCUCUCACGCGCACCCUCCCCACCCGCGCCCAUACGCCGUGCCACAGCACAUUGUCUUGUUGCCUUGAUUGAUUUUGUUAAUGAUCCUUCCGCAGGUUCACCUACGGAAA
Molecule: unclassified non-coding RNA, 304 nt
Filed under: uncultured fungus
Lineage: Eukaryota; Fungi
Description: sequence contains ITS1
Source: RNAcentral